RNAcentral lists this ribosomal RNA (441 nucleotides) under uncultured bacterium. RNAcentral's name for it is "partial 16S ribosomal RNA". It matches the Rfam family "Bacterial small subunit ribosomal RNA", at positions 338 to 795 of the family's 1533-position model. The record is from RNAcentral.
CCUAUGGGCGGCAGCAGUGGGGGAUAUUGCACAAUGGGGGAAACCCUGAUGCAGCGACGCAGCGUGAGUGAAGAAGUAUUUCGGUAUGGAAAGCUCUAUCAGCAGGGAAGAAAAAAGACGGUAGCUGACUAAGAAGCCCCGGCUAACUACGUGCCAGCAGCCGCGGUAAUAGGUAGGAGGCAAGCGUUAUCCGGAUUUACUGGGUGUAAGGGGAGCGUAGACGGCAAUACAAGUCGGAAGUGAAAUACCAGGGCUCAACCUUGGAACUGCUUUGGAAACUGGAUGGCUGGAGUGCUGGAGAGGUAAGCGGAAUUCCUAGUGUAGCGGUGAAAUGCGUAGAUAUUAGGAGGAACACCAGUGGCGAAGGCGGCUUACUGGACAGUAACUGACGUUGAGGCUCGAAAGCGUGGGGAGCAAACAGGAUUAGAUACCCUGGUAGUC